This 408-nucleotide long non-coding RNA is filed under the name Mytilus galloprovincialis (Mediterranean mussel). The record is from RNAcentral. Lineage: Eukaryota; Metazoa; Mollusca; Bivalvia; Mytilida; Mytilidae.
GCCCUAUGAAUAAACGGAACAGUAGUUCACUGCUGUUUAAAAGUCAUUAAACGAUUGAGAAAAAAAUCCGGGUUACAAAACUAAAACCGAGGGAAACACAUCAACUAUAAGAGGAAAACAACGAAACAACAGAACACUGACGUGUAAAAAAAAUACCCGAUUGGACGCAAUCGGUAAAUUUACAGAUCAGGCGACUAUUCUGGUAGAUAGAAGACUAUCACUUGUGAUAUUAGACACAGAAACCGUGUAUCUGGUAAUCAAUUUCCGAUGAUGACAAUUAGACGUUUAUAAUGUGGAUUUAGUAAUUCUUCCUUAUGACCUGCUGCAGCAGUUUCUGUGUCAUGGACAAACUCCGUGUAAUGAAGUUCGUAUAAUCUAAAAUUACGAGUUACACCAUUUAGAUAAAUU